UACAGAGGGUGCAAACGUUGCUCGGAAUCAUUGGGCGUAAAGCGCACGUAGGCGGUCCGAUAAGUCGGUAGUGAAAGCCCUCGGCUUAACCGAGGAAGUGCUAUCGAAACUGUCGGACUUGGAUACCGGAGAGGAUCGCGGAAUUCCCGGUGUAGAGGUGAAAUUCGUAGAUAUCGGGAGGAACACCAGUGGCGAAGGCGGCGAUCUGGACGGAUAUUGACGCUGAGGUGCGAAAGCCAGGGGAGCAAACGGG
RNAcentral lists this ribosomal RNA (253 nucleotides) under uncultured bacterium. RNAcentral describes it as "partial 16S ribosomal RNA". It matches the Rfam family "Bacterial small subunit ribosomal RNA", at positions 524 to 776 of the family's 1533-position model. The record is from RNAcentral.